This 430-nucleotide ribosomal RNA is filed under the name Pseudomonadota bacterium. RNAcentral describes it as "Proteobacteria bacterium partial 16S ribosomal RNA". It matches the Rfam family "Bacterial small subunit ribosomal RNA", at positions 355 to 776 of the family's 1533-position model. The record is from RNAcentral. Lineage: Bacteria; Pseudomonadati; Pseudomonadota.
UGGGGAAUAUUGGACAAUGGGGGGAACCCUGAUCCAGCCAUGCCGCGUGUGUGAAGAAGGCCUUAUGGUUGUAAAGCACUUUAAGCGAGGAGGAGGGUACUGGUAUUAAUACUACCAGCUACUGGACGUUACUCGCAGAAUAAGCACCGGCUAACUCUGUGCCAGCAGCCGCGGUAAUACAGAGGGUGCGAGCGUUAAUCGGAUUUACUGGGCGUAAAGCGUGCGUAGGCGGCUAAUUGAGUCGGAUGUGAAAUCCCCGAGCUUAACUUGGGAAUUGCAUUCGAUACUGGUUAGCUAGAGUGUGGGAGAGGAUGGUAGAAUUCCAGGUGUAACGGUGAAAUGCGUAGAGAUCUGGAGGAAUACCGAUGGCGAAGGCAGCCAUCUGGCCUAACACUGACGCUGAGGUACGAAAGCAUGGGGAGCAAACAGG